GGGCUCGGCCUGGAAUUAUGGCUCUCUACCGGAGUUCACUCGGCCUCCAGCUCUCCCACGAACACACAAUCUCUACCUUUCUCCUCUUCUCGCCGGCCCCAGCUGCUGCCGAGUCUCCGGUCAGUCCGCCGGCUUCCGCUACCUCGACAACGUCCCCCACCAUCACGGUUUCCACCGCAAUCUGAGCUCACCGCCACCAGCGACCACCACUACCUCCCUGAGACCAUCGGAUUCCAGUCUUGCAGAGUCGCGUAAAACCCGCAUUCCAGAAACCAUCAGGCAAAAUGAGCGGUCCUGCGCAUGCCAACUACGUUCUUCCCUUCUUCUUCCUCUUCUCUGCCAUGGGAGCAGCCGAUGCCUCCUCUCAAUGCUCUGAUAACAAAGGUCCCUCAGGUUCCCCAUUGGUCAGAAAUAUAAGUGAUAUACCUCAAAGUAACUUCGGGAGAGGAGGUCUGGCGCACAUAACCAUUGCAGGUGCUCUUUCAUAUGGAAUGAAAGAGGUUGAGCUUUGGCUUCAGACUUUUGCUCCGGGCACACGGACACCAAUCCACAGGCACUCCUGUGAAGAGGUAUUUGUUGUCUUAAAAGGGAGGGGCACUCUUUUGCUUGGCUCAAGUUCAUUUAAAAAUCCAGGAAAGCCUCAGGAGCUUGCCAUCUAUUCAAAUAGCACAUUCUCUAUACCCAUGAAUGAUCCGCAUCAGGUUUGGAAUACAGAUGAGAAUGAGGAUUUGCAGAUGCUAGUUGUAAUAUCACGUCCACCUAUCAAAGUGUUCAUCUAUGAUGACUGGAGCAUGCCCCAUACUGCAGCCAAAUUGAAAUUUCCUUACUAUUGGGAUGAGGAAUGUUUUUAUGAACCUAAGGAUGAGCUGUGAUGUCCACGCAUGAUGUCCUUUCUUGCAGUCACCUUGGUCUACCUGUUUAGUUCUCGACCUUUCACUUCUGUAUGCUGGUGUAAUGAUUUCAAAAGGUUGAUUACAUGUGAUCAAUUUGUGCUUGAAACAAAGGUUGUAACAAAGGCUGAACAAGAUUUCAGAUUAUAAAGUGACCCCUCUAUGUCAUAUUUCUGGUAUGGGAUCAGGCUACUUCGUGGAUCAUUUGCUGCUGCAUCUCUUUUUCUUAAUGACAAGACACUGUAAUUCCGACCAGGAAACCAUUAUCAUGCUUCUACUUCCAUGAAUUGCACAUUACUGUUUCUGAAUCAGCUUUGAUCACCAAAAUCCAUUCCAGGAAAUUCAGAAAGCCAGCUUUUACUCGCCCAAAUUAUGUGUCAGUGAUCAGCACUGAUGUAAGCUCUGCAGGCCGAGAUUUGUUGUUCUUGCCCAUCGUAUGUAAGCAUAUAGACAAGGUUAAUCCUUAGAAAAGGCACUUCAUAUAAGCACCUUUAUAGUAUUCGGAUUUCAGAAGCAUCAUAUACAAAGAUAAUAUAGCUAGAGAAGACGGCUGGAGUGAAAAUUGUUGAAGUUUUCCAGUGAUUGGAUUUUCUACAGUUCCUUCAGAUCUCUCACCCUGACAAUAUUUCUGAUCAGGAAGGCAAUUCGAGGAUACAAGUGGAAAAAAAAGGGAUACAUGCCAAUUGGUAUCAAUUGGCCAGCAACCAAAAUGCAUGGUCUCAUCAGCAUCGAGCCCUUCUUUAACAUCAUAGAAUUUCUAUGCUGGACACCUGUCAGUGCAAGCAUAAGAAUUAUGCUGAAAAUGAGUCUGAUUUUGUUUCAUUAGAUCAAGUUCCAUAAGACAUCUUACUCGAGGAUCCCAUCUGGCUGACAGGGAUGGUAUCAGUGAUGGCGACAGAAGUGAAGGACUAAAGCUAACCUUGUGCUAUUGGGUGAUCUUGACUCAUGAGGUUGAAAAAAGAGAGAAAUCAUGAAGAACACAUGCAGCAGUCAAAUGACAAAUGCAGCAUCUACCAUCAAGAAAUGAAAUCAGCACAAUCGUAGAAUUGGCUCUGAAUUGUUUAUUUCCAGAAUAGCUGUUGGACAUUGCCAAUAGACAACACUUGCACCAUAAUUUUCAGCACACUAA
Phoenix dactylifera (date palm) is the source of this 2019-nucleotide non-coding RNA. NCBI's taxonomy places the organism in Eukaryota, Viridiplantae, Streptophyta, Magnoliopsida, Arecales, Arecaceae. The record is from RefSeq and is a predicted model, not a curated record.